GCGGACGUGGCGGAAUCGGCAGACGCACUAGACUCAAAAUCUAGCGGGAAACCAUGUGGGUUCGACUCCCACCGUCCGCA
RNAcentral lists this transfer RNA (80 nucleotides) under Eubacteriales bacterium. RNAcentral describes it as "tRNA-Leu". It matches the Rfam family "tRNA". From Rfam's summary of the family: Transfer RNA (tRNA) molecules are approximately 80 nucleotides in length. Their secondary structure includes four short double-helical elements and three loops (D, anti-codon, and T loops). Further hydrogen bonds mediate the characteristic L-shaped molecular structure. tRNAs have two regions of fundamental functional importance: the anti-codon, which is responsible for specific mRNA codon recognition, and the 3' end, to which the tRNAs corresponding amino acid is attached (by aminoacyl-tRNA synthetases). tRNAs cope with the degeneracy of the genetic code in two manners: having more than one tRNA (with a specific anti-codon) for a particular amino acid; and 'wobble' base-pairing, i.e. permitting non-standard base-pairing at the 3rd anti-codon position. Lineage: Bacteria; Bacillati; Bacillota; Clostridia; Eubacteriales. The record is from RNAcentral.